GACGAACGCUGGCGGCGUGCCUAAUACAUGCAAGUCGAACGAGAGCGACCGGUGCUUGCACUGGUCAAUCUAGUGGCGAACGGGUGAGUAACACGUGGGUAACCUGCCCAUCAGAGGGGGAUAACAUCCGGAAACGGAUGCUAAAACCGCAUAGGUCUUCGAACCGCAUGGUUUGAAGAGGAAAAGAGGCGCAAGCUUCUGCUGAUGGAUGGACCCGCGGUGCAUUAGCUAGUUGGUGAGGUAACGGCUCACCAAGGCCGUGAUGCAUAGCCGACCUGAGAGGGUGAUCGGCCACAUUGGGACUGAGACACGGCCCAAACUCCUACGGGAGGCAGCAGUAGGGAAUCUUCCGCAAUGGACGCAAGUCUGACGGCGCAACGCCGCGUGAGUGAAGAAGGUUUUCGGAUCGUAAAACUCUGUUGUUAGAGAAGAACAAGUGCUAGAGUAACUGUUAGCGCCUUGACGGUAUCUAACCAGAAAGCCACGGCUAACUACGUG
This 498-nucleotide ribosomal RNA is filed under the name uncultured bacterium. RNAcentral describes it as "partial 16S ribosomal RNA". It matches the Rfam family "Bacterial small subunit ribosomal RNA", at positions 28 to 507 of the family's 1533-position model. The record is from RNAcentral.